GGGAUGAUAGUCUAAUUGGUUAAGACACCAUUUUGUCAAGAUGGGGUAUGGGGGUUCGAGUCCCCUUCUUCUCG
Molecule: transfer RNA, 74 nt
Filed under: Cutaneotrichosporon cutaneum
Lineage: Eukaryota; Fungi; Basidiomycota; Tremellomycetes; Trichosporonales; Trichosporonaceae
Also listed under: 1 other name
Description: tRNA-Asp
Rfam family: tRNA
About the family: Transfer RNA (tRNA) molecules are approximately 80 nucleotides in length. Their secondary structure includes four short double-helical elements and three loops (D, anti-codon, and T loops).
Source: RNAcentral